UCCGGUUUGUCACCGGCGGUCUCCCUAGAGUUCCCAACUAAAUGAUGGCAACUAGGGACAAGGGUUGCGCUCGUUGCGGGACUUAACCCAACAUCUCACGACACGAGCUGACGACGGCCAUGCAGUACCUGUCACUGGGCUCCCGAAGGCACUCCCCAAUUUCUUGGGGAUUCCCAGGAUGUCAAGCCUUGGUAAGGUUCUACGCGUAGCGUCAUAUUAAACCACAUCAUCCUCUGCUUGUGCGGGUCCCCGUCAAUUCCUUUGAGUUUUAGCCUUGCGGCCGUACUUCCCAGGCGGCAUACUUAUCGCGUUAGCUUCGUCUCACAGGGGGUCGAUACCCCAUAAGACUAGUAUGCAUCGUUUACGGCGUGGACUAC
Molecule: unclassified non-coding RNA, 377 nt
Filed under: uncultured bacterium
Lineage: Bacteria
Description: contains 16S-23S intergenic spacer region
Source: RNAcentral